GACGAACGCUGGCGGCGUGCCUAAUACAUGCAAGUAGAACGCUGAAGGAGGAGCUUGCUCUUCUGGAUGAGUUGCGAACGGGUGAGUAACGCGUAGGUAACCUGCCUGGUAGCGGGGGAUAACUAUUGGAAACGAUAGCUAAUACCGCAUAACAGUAGGUGUUGCAUGACAUUUACUUAAAAGGUGCAAUUGCAUCACUACCAGAUGGACCUGCGUUGUAUUAGCUAGUUGGUGGGGUAACGGCUCACCAAGGCGACGAUACAUAGCCGACCUGAGAGGGUGAUCGGCCACACUGGGACUGAGACACGGCCCAGACUCCUACGGGAGGCAGCAGUAGGGAAUCUUCGGCAAUGGACGGAAGUCUGACCGAGCUACGCCGCGUGAGUGAAGAAGGGUUUCGGAUCGUAAAGCUCUGUUGUAAGAGAAGAACGAGUGUGAGAGUGGAAAGUUCACACUGUGACGGUAUCUUACCAGAAAGGGACGGCUAACUACGUG
This 495-nucleotide ribosomal RNA is filed under the name uncultured bacterium. RNAcentral's name for it is "partial 16S ribosomal RNA". It matches the Rfam family "Bacterial small subunit ribosomal RNA", at positions 28 to 507 of the family's 1533-position model. The record is from RNAcentral.